This 548-nucleotide ribosomal RNA is filed under the name uncultured bacterium. RNAcentral's name for it is "bacterial SSU rRNA". It matches the Rfam family "Bacterial small subunit ribosomal RNA", at positions 825 to 1380 of the family's 1533-position model. The record is from RNAcentral.
GGGUCUUAAUUGACUUGGUAACGCAGCUAACGCGUGAAGUUGACCGCCUGGGGAGUACGGUCGCAAGAUUAAAACUCAAAGGAAUUGACGGGGACCCGCACAAGCGGUGGAUGAUGUGGAUUAAUUCGAUGCAACGCGAAAAACCUUACCUACCCUUGACAUGGUCGGAACCCUGGAGAGAUCUGGGGGUGCUCGAAAGAGAACCGGCGCACAGGUGCUGCAUGGCUGUCGUCAGCUCGUGUCGUGAGAUGUUGGGUUAAGUCCCGCAACGAGCGCAACCCUUGUCAUUAGUUGCUACGAAAGGGCACUCUAAUGAGACUGCCGGUGACAAACCGGAGGAAGGUGGGGAUGACGUCAAGUCCUCAUGGCCCUUAUGGGUAGGGCUUCACACGUCAUACAAUGGUACAUACAGAGGGCUGCCAACCCGCGAGGGGGAGCUAAUCCCAGAAAGUGUAUCGUAGUCCGGAUUGUAGUCUGCAACUCGACUGCAUGAAGUUGGAAUCGCUAGUAAUCGCGGAUCAGCAUGUCGCGGUGAUACGUUCCCGGUC